RNAcentral lists this ribosomal RNA (442 nucleotides) under uncultured bacterium. RNAcentral describes it as "partial 16S ribosomal RNA". It matches the Rfam family "Bacterial small subunit ribosomal RNA", at positions 338 to 795 of the family's 1533-position model. The record is from RNAcentral.
CCUACGGGGGGCAGCAGUGGGGAAUAUUGGGCAAUGGAGGAAACUCUGACCCAGCAAUGCCGCGUGAAUGAAGAAGGUCUUCGGAUUGUAAAGUUCUUUAGUCAGGGAAGAAGUCAAUGACGGUACCUGAAGAAUAAGCUCCGGCUAACUACGUGCCAGCAGCCGCGGUAAUACGGAGGAUGCGAGCGUUAUCCGGAUUUAUUGGGUUUAAAGGGUGCGUAGGCGGAAUAUCAAGUCAGCGGUAAAAAUUCGGGGCUCAACCCCGUCGUGCCGUUGAAACUGAUGUUCUUGAGUGGGCGAGAAGUAUGCGGAAUGCGUGGUGUAGCGGUGAAAUGCAUAGAUAUCACGCAGAACUCCGAUUGCGAAGGCAGCAUACCGGCGCCCAACUGACGCUGAAGCACGAAAGCGUGGGUAUCGAACAGGAUUAGAUACCCGAGUAGUC